GAUGAAGAACGUAGCGAAAUGCGAUAAGUAAUGUGAAUUGCAGAAUUCAGUGAAUCAUCGAAUCUUUGAACGCACCUUGCGCCCUUUGGCCAUUCCGAAGGGCAUGCCUGUUUGAGUAUCAUGAACACCUCAACUCCUCAUGGUUUUCCGUGAUGAGCUUGGACUUUGGGGGUCUUGCUGGCCUAUGGUCAGCUCCUCUAAAAUAAAUCAGCUUGCCAGUGUUUGGUGGGUAUCACAGGUGUGAUAACUAUCUACGCUUGUGGUUUUCCACCAGGUAACCUUCAGCAGUGGAGGUUCGCUGGAGCUCACAGAUGUGUCUCUCCUCAGUGAGGACAGCUCUUUGAAUGUUUGAUCUCAAAUCAGGUAGGACUACCCGCUGAACUUAAGCAUAUCAAUAAGCGGAGGA
This 406-nucleotide unclassified non-coding RNA is filed under the name soil metagenome. Its description in RNAcentral is "partial contains 5.8S ribosomal RNA, internal transcribed spacer 2, and large subunit ribosomal RNA". The stretch from base 1 to 121 matches the Rfam family "5.8S ribosomal RNA", at positions 35 to 154 of the family's 154-position model. The record is from RNAcentral.